RNAcentral lists this long non-coding RNA (777 nucleotides) under Homo sapiens (human). Its description in RNAcentral is "Down syndrome critical region 4". The record is from RNAcentral. Lineage: Eukaryota; Metazoa; Chordata; Mammalia; Primates; Hominidae.
CUUAAGGAUGUCUGAGAGCUGGUCUCCUCACUCUUUUCUUCCGCCUAUUAAACUUUCCGCUUCUUAACUCACCCAUGUGUGUCCAUGUCGUUAAUCAUCUUGACGAGAGAUGAUGAACCCCGGAUAUUUACCCCAGACAGUGAUGCCGCUUCACCAGCAUUGCACUCUACUUCCCCGCUUCCUGAUCCUGCCUCAGCUUCUCCUCUCCACAGAGAAGAAAAAAUUCUGCCUAAAGUCUGCAACAUCGUUUCCUGCCUGAGUUUCAGCCUGCCAGCUUCUCCUACGGAUUCUGGACUUGCCAGCCCCACAAUCAUCAGGGAUCCUGUGGCCUCCAAAUCCCAGUUGGAACUCAGCUCAAGGCCAGCAAAAACAGAGCCUAGAGCCUGGAGCGCACAGUUUGGCAGGUGCAGUGCGCAGCCCCAACCCCAAGUGGAUUUUCUACCUGCAGAGAAUACCUGCUCUGGGUGACCACAGCUGCUGAGAAAUCUUCCCAGAAGAGGCAGGAUGGGAUGGAAUGCUGGGAUUACAGAUGAACUUUCCUGGCCACCCUGGAUAAGCAGAACCUGAAUAAAGUAAAUCAUGAUCACACCCCAAGGCAAGACAGAGGCCUCUGGCAUGUAAGAAGGCUCCCCAGUGGUCAAGACAGAAGCAGGCUUCAAGAAAUGGAAAGUAUUGGUGGGCAGAGUGGGGUCAGUGAGGGAUGAGGGUGCAGGAGCACUCAGAGAAGCACACAAGGUGUCCUUCUGAGCUGGAUGCUUGUGAUAACUGGAGAGGGAA